Molecule: ribosomal RNA, 253 nt
Filed under: uncultured bacterium
Lineage: Bacteria
Description: partial 16S ribosomal RNA
Rfam family: Bacterial small subunit ribosomal RNA
Source: RNAcentral
UACAGAGGUCCCAAGCGUUACUGAGAAUCACUGGGUUUAAAGGGUGCGUAGGUGGUCCGUUAAGUUCGUUGUGAAAUCCCUGGGCUCAACCCAGGAACUGCUUCGAAUACUGGCGGACUUGAGGCCAGUAGGGGUCACUAGAACUGACGGUGGAGCGGUGAAAUGCGUAGAUAUCGUCAGGAAUGCCGGUGGUGAAGACGGGUGACUGGGCUGGUUCUGACACUGAGGCACGAAAGCGUGGGGAGCGAUCCGG